UCAUCGCCCACACCAGAGUUUUGACUUCAGCGUGGAGAGGAGAGAGACUUUGUUGGCGAUUUAUAGCUCCCGUCGUUGUUGGAGGAUCCUGAGCGUGUUGGCAGAACAAGCCUAAAACCUGCAUAUGUAUUUGUAUCCUUGCAUGAUACAUCUAUAAAGCAUCUAUAAUCUGCGAAUGUGGAAGGUAAAGAAUCUGCCUGCCCCUG
Molecule: long non-coding RNA, 206 nt
Filed under: Capsella rubella
Lineage: Eukaryota; Viridiplantae; Streptophyta; Magnoliopsida; Brassicales; Brassicaceae
Description: long non-coding RNA (CRUB_LNC001547)
Source: RNAcentral